This 514-nucleotide ribosomal RNA is filed under the name uncultured bacterium. Its description in RNAcentral is "partial 16S ribosomal RNA". It matches the Rfam family "Bacterial small subunit ribosomal RNA", at positions 32 to 523 of the family's 1533-position model. The record is from RNAcentral.
AUUUAACGCUGGCGGCAUGCCUAACACAUGCAAGUCGAACGGCAGCACAGUAAAGACUUCGGUCUUUAUGGGUGGCGAGUGGCGGACGGGUGAGUAACGCGUAGGAAUCUGUCCUGGAGAGUGGGAUAACCCGAGGAAACUCGGGCUAAUACCGCAUGAUAUCGAGAGAUCAAAGGCAGGGGACCCUUCGGGGCCUUGCGCUCUAGGUUGAGCCUGCGGCGUAUUAGCUAGUUGGUAGGGUAAUGGCCUACCAAGGCAACGAUGCGUAGCCGGACUGAGAGGUUGAACGGCCACACUGGGACUGAGACACGGCCCAGACUCCUACGGGAGACAGCAGUUAGGAAUAUCCGGCAAUGGGGGAAACCCUGACCGAGCAAUGCCGCGUGUGAGAUGAAGGUCCUUUGGAUCGUAAAUCACUUUUAUUUGGGAAGAAUUGUAAGUAUAGGAAAUGAUACUUACUUGACGGUACCAUUUGAAUAAGCUUCGGCUAACUACGUGCCAGCCGCCGCCGUAA